This 253-nucleotide ribosomal RNA is filed under the name uncultured bacterium. Its description in RNAcentral is "partial 16S ribosomal RNA". It matches the Rfam family "Bacterial small subunit ribosomal RNA", at positions 524 to 776 of the family's 1533-position model. The record is from RNAcentral.
UACGGAGGAUGCAAGCGUUAUCCGGAAUGAUUGGGCGUAAAGCGUCCGCAGGUGGCUGUGUAAGUCUGCUGUUAAAGAGUCUAGCUCAACUAGAUAAAAGCAGUGGAAACUACACGGCUAGAGUACGUUCGGGGCGGAGGGAAUUCCUGGUGUAGCGGUGAAAUGCGUAGAGAUCAGGAAGAACACCGGUGGCGAAGGCGCUCUGCUAGGCCGUAACUGACACUGAGGGACGAAAGCUAGGGGAGCGAAUGGG